AACUGAGACACGGUCCAGACUCCUACGGGAGGCAGCAGUAGGGAAUAUUGCUCAAUGGGGGAAACCCUGAAGCAGCAACGCCGCGUGGAGGAUGAAGGUUUUAGGAUUGUAAACUCCUUUUGUUAGAGAAGAUAAUGACGUUAUCUAACGAAUAAGCACCGGCUAACUCCGUGCCAGCAGCCGCGGUAAUACGGAGGGUGCAAGCGUUACUCGGAAUCACUGGGCGUAAAGAGCGCGUAGGCGGGAUAGUCAGUCAGGUGUGAAAUCCUAUGGCUUAACCAUAGAACUGCAUUUGAAACUACUAUUCUAGAGUGUGGGAGAGGUAGGUGGAAUUCUUGGUGUAGGGGUAAAAUCCGUAGAGAUCAAGAGGAAUACUCAUGUGCGAAGGCGACCUGCUGGAACAUUACUGACGCUGAUUGCGCGAAAGCGUGGGGAGCAAUACAGGAUUAGAUACCCUGGUAGUCCACGCCCCUAAACGAUGGAUGCUAUGUUGUUGGAGGGCUUAGUCUCUCCAGAUAUAUGCAGCUAACGCAUUAAGCAUCCCGCCUGGGGAGUACGGUCGCAAGAUUAAAACUCACAAGGAAUAGACGUGGGUACCCGCACAAUGCGGUGGAGCAUGUGGUAUAAUUCGAAGAUACACGAAGAACCUUACCUAGGCUUGACAUUGAGAGAAUCCGCUAGAAAUAGUGGAGUGUCUAGCUUGCUAGACCUUGAAAACAGGUGCUGCACGGCUGUCGUCAGCUCGUGUCGUGAGAU
Molecule: ribosomal RNA, 756 nt
Filed under: Helicobacter pylori
Lineage: Bacteria; Pseudomonadati; Campylobacterota; Epsilonproteobacteria; Campylobacterales; Helicobacteraceae
Description: bacterial SSU rRNA
Rfam family: Bacterial small subunit ribosomal RNA
Source: RNAcentral